GACGUAGGGUCCAAGCGUUGUCCGGAUUUACUGGGCGUAAAGAGCGCGUAGGCGGUCUGUUAAGUGAGAAGUGAAAUCUCUGGGCUCAACUCAGAAACCGCUUUUCAUACUGGCAGACUUGAGGAAUGCAGAGGUAUGUGGAAUUCCUGGUGUAGCGGUGAAAUGCAUUGAUAUCAGGAGGAACACCCAUGGCGAAGGCAGCAUACUGGGCAUUAUCUGACGCUGAGGCGCGAAAGCGUGGGUAGCAAACAGG
This 253-nucleotide ribosomal RNA is filed under the name uncultured Armatimonadota bacterium. Its description in RNAcentral is "uncultured Armatimonadetes bacterium partial 16S ribosomal RNA". It matches the Rfam family "Bacterial small subunit ribosomal RNA", at positions 524 to 776 of the family's 1533-position model. The record is from RNAcentral. Lineage: Bacteria; Bacillati; Armatimonadota.